UUAGGUUAAGUUAUGAAGGGCGCAUGGUGGAUGCCUUGGCACUAGGAGCUGAUGAAGGACGGGACUAACACCGAUAUGCUUCGGGGAGCUGUACGUAAGCUUUGAUCCGGAGAUUUCCGAAUGAGGAAACUCGAUAACCUUAAUCGGUUAUCACCAAUUAGUGAAUUAAUUAGCUAAUUUGGCGGCAGACGUGGGGAACUGAAACAUCUAAGUACCCACAGGAAGAGAAAGAAAUUUCG
RNAcentral lists this ribosomal RNA (239 nucleotides) under Apilactobacillus timberlakei. RNAcentral's name for it is "Lactobacillus timberlakei partial 23S ribosomal RNA". It matches the Rfam family "Bacterial large subunit ribosomal RNA", at positions 1 to 233 of the family's 2925-position model. The record is from RNAcentral. Lineage: Bacteria; Bacillati; Bacillota; Bacilli; Lactobacillales; Lactobacillaceae.